CCUAUGUUCAAGAAGGAGAGUUUCUUAAAAUAAUUGAUCAGGUCGACUUGAUAAACUGGUUUGGGUCUCAAAUCAGAUUAUCUUAUAAAUAUAUAUUUACAUGACAAUGAAAAAACUUGUCACAAAGAAACAUUCAUUGCGAUGAAAGAAUUGCUUGUCACAAGAAAAGCUAUGCUUUUGUGAUAACUUUUCACUCUAUAACUUCUGUUUGGUGCCAGGAUUUAAUUAUAGUGGCAGCC
This 239-nucleotide long non-coding RNA is filed under the name Elaeis guineensis (African oil palm). Its description in RNAcentral is "long non-coding RNA (EGUI_LNC031581)". The record is from RNAcentral. Lineage: Eukaryota; Viridiplantae; Streptophyta; Magnoliopsida; Arecales; Arecaceae.